CCGGCUAACUACGUGCCAGCAGCCGCGGUAAUACGUAGGGUGCAAGCGUUAAUCGGAAUUACUGGGCGUAAAAGCGUGCGCAGGCGGUUGUGUAAGACAGGUGUGAAAUCCCCGGGCUUAACCUGGGAAUGGCAUUUGUGACUGCACGGCUAGAGUGUGUCAGAGGGGGGUAGAAUUCCACGUGUAGCAGUGAAAUGCGUAGAGAUGUGGAGGAAUACCGAUGGCGAAGGCAGCCCCCUGGGAUAACACUGACGCUCAUGCACGAAAGCGUGGGGAGCAAACAGGAUUAGAUACCCUGGUAGUCCACGCCCUAAACGAUGUCUACUAGUUGUCGGGUCUUAAUUGACUUGGUAACGCAGCUAACGCGUGAAGUAGACCGCCUGGGGAGUACGGUCGCAAGAUUAAGACUCAAAGGAAUUGACGGGGACCCGCACAAGCGGUGGAUGAUGUGGAUUAAUUCGAUGCAACGCGAAAAACCUUACCUACCCUUGACAUGUACGGAAUCCCUGAGAGAUCAGGGAGUGCUUGAAAGAGAACCGUAACACAGGUGCUGCA
RNAcentral lists this ribosomal RNA (555 nucleotides) under uncultured beta proteobacterium. Its description in RNAcentral is "bacterial SSU rRNA". It matches the Rfam family "Bacterial small subunit ribosomal RNA", at positions 493 to 1045 of the family's 1533-position model. The record is from RNAcentral. Lineage: Bacteria; Pseudomonadati; Pseudomonadota; Betaproteobacteria.